AACGCUAGCUACAGGCUUAACACAUGCAAGUCGAGGGGAAACGAUAUUGGAAGCUUGCUUCCGAUAGGCGUCGACCGGCGCACGGGUGAGUAACGCGUAUCCAACCUGCCCGUCACUUGGGAAUAACCUUGCGAAAGUAAGACUAAUGCCCAAUGACAUUUAUAGAAGGCAUCGGAAAUGAAUUAAAGAUUUAUCGGUGAUGGAUGGGGAUGCGUCUGAUUAGCUUGUUGGCGGGGUAACGGCCCACCAAGGCGACGAUCAGUAGGGGUUCUGAGAGGAAGGUCCCCCACAUUGGAACUGAGACACGGUCCAAACUCCUACGGGAGGCAGCAGUGAGGAAUAUUGGUCAAUGGGCGAGAGCCUGAACCAGCCAAGUAGCGUGCAGGAAGACGGCCCUAUGGGUUGUAAACUGCUUUUAUAGGGGAAUAAAGUGAGCCACGUGUGGUUUUUUGCAUGUACCCUAUGAAUAAGGACCGGCUAAUUCCGUGCCAGCAGCCGCGGUAAUACGGAAGGUCCGGGCGUUAUCCGGAUUUAUUGGGUUUAAAGGGAGCGUAGGCCGGAGAUUAAGCGUGUUGUGAAAUGUAGACGCUCAACGUCUGCACUGCAGCGCGAACUGGUUUCCUUGAGUACGCAUAAAGUGGGCGGAAUUCGUGGUGUAGCGGUGAAAUGCUUAGAUAUCACGAAGAACUCCGAUUG
RNAcentral lists this ribosomal RNA (696 nucleotides) under uncultured Bacteroidales bacterium. RNAcentral's name for it is "bacterial SSU rRNA". It matches the Rfam family "Bacterial small subunit ribosomal RNA", at positions 32 to 715 of the family's 1533-position model. Lineage: Bacteria; Pseudomonadati; Bacteroidota; Bacteroidia; Bacteroidales. The record is from RNAcentral.